AUACUUGAAAAUUACCUUUGAAUACAUUUUAUUUUGAGCAAAAAGAAUAGCUGAAAAUUAUUUAAAUCAAAGGUUGUUAUUUUUUCACAGAUUAAAGUACUUACAGAUAUAGGAUUUUUUACGGAGGCCUUUCAUGAACUGUCUUUGCUUAACUGUGGAGAGAGAAUUCCAUGGAAAAUACCUGCAGGAUACAGAAAAACUGAAGAAAUGAAGGACUUACAGAAAUUUGACUCCUCAGAAUCUCUCUUGACUGUUACAAAUUUACAGGUACUGGAAGACAUAUUUAAUUGGAGUCUGUCUUUAGCAAUGGUGCCACUGUGCAACCAACAAAUUAUGAAUAAAUUAACCUUAGCCAAAAUGCAUUUCAUCAUUUGCCUUUCUG
RNAcentral lists this long non-coding RNA (382 nucleotides) under Athene cunicularia (burrowing owl). RNAcentral describes it as "lncRNA (ENSACUG00000007888.1)". The record is from RNAcentral. Lineage: Eukaryota; Metazoa; Chordata; Aves; Strigiformes; Strigidae.